RNAcentral lists this ribosomal RNA (146 nucleotides) under uncultured Leptolinea sp. RNAcentral's name for it is "partial 16S ribosomal RNA". It matches the Rfam family "Bacterial small subunit ribosomal RNA", at positions 1239 to 1382 of the family's 1533-position model. The record is from RNAcentral. Lineage: Bacteria; Bacillati; Chloroflexota; Anaerolineae; Anaerolineales; Anaerolineaceae.
ACAAUAGGUUGCUAAGCCGCGAGGUGGCGCCAAUCCAUAAAGUUUAGGUCUCAGUUCAGAUUGUAGGCUGCAACCCGCCUGCAUGAAGAUGGAGUUGCUAGUAACCGCAGGUCAGCUAUACUGCGGUGAAUACGUUCCCGGGGCUU